This is a non-coding RNA of Biomphalaria pfeifferi, 1262 nucleotides long. The record is from the annotation of a GenBank genome assembly. Lineage: Eukaryota; Metazoa; Mollusca; Gastropoda; Planorbidae.
GAAGUAGCCCGCCUACUAUAUCCUGCACUAUGCUUGGAACGGUAAUGAGAUGGAUAGUAAUCACUUGAGUGGUGGUGGCUGAGUGGUAAAGAGCUCGAUAACACACUUGUAACCAUGGGCAAAAGAAACAGAUGAAUUUUACAUCAUUUACACAGCAUGGCCUGAAAGGCGAACUUUUCUUUUCACUUCCAGCAUCUGUUAUAAUGUGGAUAAGUCAAGCAGGCCACUUGCUCAUUUUUUUUCCUGUGAGGUGGAAGUGGAUACCCCCAGUAUCCUCCAAAGUGAGGCACCUAGCUAUGUGAGUCAGGCUAGGUUAAUGUGGGCUACCCCAGUAGAACUGCAUUACAGAAUGGGUCUAUAAAAGACAUAUAAAAUAAAAUACAAAAUAAAGAAAUAGUUUGAUUUAUGUAAUAGCCUGUUUUGCAAUCAAGCCUAACACAGUGGAAUGCCCAGUGGUAGAAGAGAGUCAGCCAGAUGUUAGAAUGUCAUUCAUUUCUCAUUGUUUUAUUUACAUUAGCUACGUUACCUAUGAUGAAAUAAUAAUAAUGUUAAUAAGUCAAAGGACACUUGAUGGUCAACUUCUAUGAUGUGCCAAACCAUUAGUGUGAUGUGCUAGUCAAGUACAGUGAUCAAUCUGUUACAUUUACCAGUAGUAGAAAAUGAAGGUGAAAAUGUUUUUUUUAACAGAUUCAUAAUGAUUUAAUUAGACAUAGUUUAUGUAAUAAGUCUUCAGAUGUUAUAACAACUAUGACAAGUUUUGUUUUUUUUAAUCUUAUUACCAUUAAUUAUUGCCUUUAAUUAUUAAUAUUAAUUAGGGUUGCAGAGCUGGGUCAGUUUUUUUGGAGUCAAAGUGGAUUUGGUACAAAAUUGUCAGAUUAAAAGAAGUCAAUGUUGAAACUAGAGGGUAUGGAAUGGCCACAUUAACAGCUCUGCAACCCUACAAUAGAACAAAUAAUCAGAAUAACACUAUGUUCUAGACAUAGGCUAACCAACUUACAUAAACACAGGUGAUUACAUCUGGUCAUAAGAUCAGGAAUACAAUGGCACCAGAACUUUGAAGAAACACAAUAACAAAAACUACAAGAUUAUUUAGCCAGGUAAACAGGUAUUAACAAAGAAAAACAAGAUUAAAGGAUACGAGCAAAAAAUGAAGAGAUUCUUCCACUGCUAGUGUUCAAGAAAUAAAUAAUCAAGUUCAAUACAGCAUUAGUGACAUCUUCACUCUAGCUCUGUGCUAAUGAAAUGCAAAAAAAAAAGUUUUC